GGGGAAUUUUCCGCAAUGGGCGAAAGCCUGACGGAGCAAUACCGCGUGAGGGAUGACGGCCUAUGGGUUGUAAACCUCUUUUUUCAGGGAGGAAUAAAUGACGUGUACCUGAAGAAUAAGCAUCGGCUAACUCCGUGCCAGCAGCCGCGGUAAUACGGAGGAUGCAAGCGUUAUCCGGAAUGAUUGGGCGUAAAGCGUCCGUAGGUGGUUCUGUAAGUCUGCUGUUAAAGCGUGAGGCUUAACCUCAUACAGGCGGUGGAAACUACAGGACUAGAGUACGUUCGGGGCAGAGGGAAUUCCUGGUGUAGCGGUGAAAUGCGUAGAGAUCAGGAAGAACACCGGUGGCGAAAGCGCUCUGCUAGGCCGUAACUGACACUGAGGGACGAAAGCUAGGGGAGCGAAUGGGAUUAGAUACCCCAGUAGUC
Molecule: ribosomal RNA, 425 nt
Filed under: uncultured cyanobacterium
Lineage: Bacteria; Bacillati; Cyanobacteriota
Description: bacterial SSU rRNA
Rfam family: Bacterial small subunit ribosomal RNA
Source: RNAcentral